UUGUUUGAAAACUUUGUAAACGUUCAACAUCCCCACCCCUAAACCAUAUAUAUACUUGUAUGGGACACUAAAGCUAAUCAAAUGAAAUUAAAGGGAAGUUCCUGGGGGUUGCCCCCACCCCGUUCAAUUUGAGAAUGUGCUAUUAUCUUGUAAAUGGUCCAGAUCCCCACCCCUAAACCAUAUUUAUUCUUGUAGGGGACAAUAAAACAAAUGAAAUGAAAUAAAAGGGAAGUCCCGAGGGGGUCACCCCACCCCCUCUUGUUUGAAAACUUGUAAACGGUCAACAUCCCCACCCUUUAACCACAUAUAUUCUUGUAUGGGACAAUAAAACAAAUCAAAUGAAAUGUAGGUAAAGUCCCUGGGGAUCACCACCACCCCCUCCUGUUUGAAUACUUGUAAAUGGUGGAGAUCCCCACCCGUAAGCCAUAUAUAUUCUUGUAUUGGACAAAAAAUCAAAUCAAAUGAACAUGGGACCAUAUAAAUGGUGACUUAUGGGAGCUUUGUUUGGGAGACUUCGUAACAGCAUCCUGUUACAAUUACUUCUUGUUUAUUUUAUUUUACACUCAUGGGACAAAAUGAAGUUCUCACCC
This 590-nucleotide long non-coding RNA is filed under the name Mytilus galloprovincialis (Mediterranean mussel). Lineage: Eukaryota; Metazoa; Mollusca; Bivalvia; Mytilida; Mytilidae. The record is from RNAcentral.